Molecule: ribosomal RNA, 253 nt
Filed under: uncultured bacterium
Lineage: Bacteria
Description: partial 16S ribosomal RNA
Rfam family: Bacterial small subunit ribosomal RNA
Source: RNAcentral
UACGUAGGGGGCAAGCGUUGUCCGGAUUUAUUGGGCGUAAAGAGCGUGUAGGCGGCCACACAGGUCUGCUGUGAAAACUCGAGGCUCAACCUCGAGCUGUCGGUGGAAACCGUGUGGCUAGAGUCCGGAAGAGGAGAGUGGAAUUCCCGGUGUAGCGGUGAAAUGCGCAGAUAUCGGGAAGAACACCCGUGGCGAAGGCAGCUCUCUGGGACGGUACUGACGCUGAGACGCGAAAGCGUGGGGAGCGAACAGG